GCAGCCCUAACUUUCCUGUAAGUCUUGUGUUCAAACUUGCAUCCAGGCUUCCUACCACCAUACGGUGGAGCAGGACCAGCUUCAGAGGAGGUGGAUCUCCUGAAGAUGUCGUGGGCACUGGAGGUUUCACAGUAAGUGGUGCCGUGAGUUGGAUGGACGACUCCAGCAUGCAAAAAUGGCAUUAUCCUGCCCAAGAUCUUUCAGACAAGAGAGGUGUAACGCUUCCUCUACAUGCAGAUGGUCUACAUGGCUGCCAGGGAGUCCGCUGUGUACCUUCCCUGAUUGCCGACAUCAGCCACCGUGGACACAGAAUGGUUGUAAUAAUUGUCUCUGGAGGGCGAUUUGUACGGGAAUCUGCAAGCUCAGUUACCUAUGGAGCUCACCGCUGACAUGCUUUUGUGGAGAAAGGGGCUCUCCCCAGCUGGCCCUGUGUUCAUCUGUUAUUCAGUCCGCGAUAAAUACAGAAUGAUGACAAAUAUGAAAACCCAUGGUUGAUGCUGAACGCUACCUCAACUGGGUUGCAAAGGUGGAGAUUCUGGCUGAUUUUGCAAAUCAAGGUCAUGAACCACCCAUGAACCCCUAAGCCAGUCCUCCAGACCCAGGAGUAUUCACUCAUAGGAACAGGGGACCAGCCCCAAAGCUACCACUCUGCAGCCUGCCUUGGUUUUGUCCUUUCAGAAACUGUCUAGAUCAGAAGCAUCAGUGUCCCUUGCAAAGUGAGAGCUACUUGUUGAGAACGUAUGUGACCAGGAGCUGGUUGUAAAAAUCAUAGCUGUGGUCUUUCGCACUUGAUCUGGAAGAACCAGGUACGCGUUAUGACUUAAAAAGCUUCCUUCUGCUCUCCUUCCCGGCACCGUCAUACCCCGUUGGCUUGGUCAGCUGCUCCCUGGUUUCAACCUGCCUGUCCCUU
Molecule: long non-coding RNA, 910 nt
Organism: Chroicocephalus ridibundus (black-headed gull)
Lineage: Eukaryota; Metazoa; Chordata; Aves; Charadriiformes; Laridae
Exons: 4
Source: RefSeq, a predicted model, not a curated record